Chelonoidis abingdonii (Abingdon island giant tortoise) is the source of this 725-nucleotide non-coding RNA. The record is from RefSeq and is a predicted model, not a curated record. Lineage: Eukaryota; Metazoa; Chordata; Testudines; Testudinidae.
UUCACUCUCAAUAUCUCUGGACCAGUCAGAAGGAGAUGCAAAGAGGCACUGGCCGCUGGCAUGUGCUUCUCAGAUGAGUUUGGACACAAUUUACACUCUGCCUUUGCAGCUUGUUGAUCUGCUAUAAGAAUUGUUCAGCACUACCUGAGUCGCUCCUAAGCCAGUAUCCCACUUCCCAAUACCCUGACUCAACAUCUUCUCAGUGCUCUCCAGAAAAAUCAUCAAUUGUAUCCAGAAGAAGCAAAAAGCUUUAAUCCGAAAGCAUGACUGCCUGAUAAGCCGGCACUAGUUCAGUACCUGUUUAUGGCCAGGGAUCAGAUUCUUCUCUCAUGGAAAAACUUACUAGAAAUACAGUUAAGAAUACAAAGGAGAUUCUAAAGGAAAUUUUCCCUUUCUUAUCAUCAAUUACUGCUGCAGUUUUCUCAAUAUACAGGUUCUAAUUUAAAGCAAAAUGCAUUUGCAUUGCUUAACAAUCCCUUAAAGAGAUGGGAGCCCUCCAGGACAAACAUACCAUUUCCCUCCCUUUAUUCUACCUACAUUAGCUGGUCAGCUAGGGGAAUUCAUCUGACCAAAAUGCAGCCUUCCUCUUCACCCCCGGGGUACAGUAUGCAACCACCCUGCUGGCCCAACUGUUCUCUUGUGUAGACAUCAGUGGGAAACAGCCUGGUACAUUCACAUUUGCAAAACAGUGAGAGUGAAAAGCGACUAGAAUGGGAUACAUACAA